UCCAGGGUAGCCGAGUGGAGAAGGCACCUGCCCGGUAAGCAGAAGGGUGUGGGUUCGAUUCCCGCCCCUGGAC
Cordylochernes scorpioides is the source of this 73-nucleotide non-coding RNA. Lineage: Eukaryota; Metazoa; Arthropoda; Arachnida; Pseudoscorpiones; Chernetidae. The record is from the annotation of a GenBank genome assembly.